UGGGCUCCAAAGCAUGGGGACAGCCAGUUCCCCACGAAGAGCAACCUGGCAGCAGUGACUGGUGGAACCCAGCAGGGCAUUAGCCUAAGCCUAAAUCUGACUCUCAUUUCUCUCCACUCCCCAGGGAGCAGCCCCCCCCUUAUCCUGGCACAGCCCCAGCCCCAGCAAAGCAGGCAACUCCCACUUCCUAUAUAGGGACAAGCCCAGAACAGCCAUGGUUUUACCCAGCUCAAACCAGGAGGCAGCAGGGCUUUGACCUUUCCCCUCCUCUUUCCCUCCCAACCUCCCCCAAACAACUGCCACAGCCCCUAGACUCAGGGACAAAGCCCCCUCCACCAGGAACUAAAAACCAAGCCAUUGGGGAGGCUUCAGAGGGCAGUGGCUAGGACUGAGUCACUCCCACCUUCACCACCCACACCUACUUUUAUGGGCACUUCUGAAUUCUCUACUCCUCCAUCAAGCAGAGACUCUCAAAAUUGGAUGGCAGAAAAGUCCUUUCUAGAACUUCAGUGGGGCAAUGAAGCAGGAUGGGCUCUAGGCUUGCAGCCCCAGAGAACUCAAAUGCCAGUCCUGGCUCUGCUCAGCAUCUAGCUGUGCAACCCUGGGCAAGUGACUUAACUUCCCUGAGUUUCAAUUUCCUCAUCUGUAGAAAAGAGAUAAUGAUACCAGCUUCCAGAGACAGCCAUGAGGAAUAAGUGAGAACAGUUCAUGAAGGUGCUUGGUGUCUAAAGUCUUUCCUUGAUCUUAAGUUAAGGCUACACAGGCAAUGAGAAGCAGAGCUGGGACCCAGCUCAGCCCCCUAUACCAUCUCUCCAGAUAAACAGCCCUCUGUAGGCUAGUCAAUUUCCCAUCUCUUUCUAAGGUGGCUCCUCGUAGAGAGAAACCUCGGUCUUAGGUACCCACCCCAUGGGCCUCCAGGAAGGGAAAAAGCUGCCAGCCUUGGCCUGCCCUUGGCUCCCACACACUGCAUUCUCAGAACCCAGCUGUGGCAGCCCCAGCCCCAAUGGAGGCUCCAGAGGGAAUGGGUGGAGCUGGGGUGCGAGGGAGGGUCGGAGUGGGGAGAAGAGGCCUCAUGUCACCCAAGCUGGGGCUUGAUCUUAGCAAGAAAUGACUAAUUGGAUCCUACCUUCUUCCCCUCCCCCUCGAGUCCAGUCAGUGGCCAGUUUCACCAGGCACCUCCUAGCAAUACUUCCUCAGUAUUAUCUUUUCAUCACAGCCACAAACCAGAUUAGCUAAAUUAAUCAUUUAGCCAGCAUAAUUACAAGGUCUUCCCCUCCUCCAUAUUGGCUCGAAGAGGAGGGAAAACAGGUUAUUUUUGCCCAAACUCCAUGCCCCUGUAGUUCCCCAGGGGUGCAGGCCCCUUCCCCUCCCCCCAGGGCCUGGGUUCCUACCUCAGCGGCCCCCUAGCCCAGGGCUGAACCUGACCCCUACUCAGGACACUCCAAGGGAGUGGGUCUGGUGCUCUCCCACUCUCCCAUCUACAACCAAAGGAGGUGGUAGGCUCUCCACCCCUGCCCCAGCUGGGCUGAUCCCCCCUCCCAUCUUCCUUCCACACCCAGGACUUGAAGGAGAAACUGGCUCUCACAGUCCCCCAAGGGGGCUGGGCUCCAAGUCCUACGAAAAGACCACACUCUGGUUUGUACAAACUGGUAUAGAAAGCCUGGCUAUUUCUGGCAGGGAGUCAGAUAGGGCUCUUAGAAAAUUGGGGGCAGAGGAGUUGGAAGCCUGAUUCACCUCUGCCCGAAGGAGUCUAGUGUUGACGGAACCUCCCCCAAAAAAGCCAUCCUCCUGUCCCACUUUCGCCGUCAAAGUCUCUCAGAAAAGGGGGUGGCGAAAGGUCUAGGAAGGCUCCAGAAAGCACGCACCUUUCUAAUUCAGAAAUCAGAAGGCAAGCAAGCCCCACAGCCUCAAUUACCAGCUGGCUAAGUAAGGAGGGGGUGGGGUAGAGAAAAGAACAACCACUCCCUCCACCUUCCACAGUUUGGCCGGGCCCCGCCCCCCCAUUCCUGGGGAGGGGGCAGAGCUUGGGAGAGAGAGCCACUAGCAGGCAGGCCUCCUCCGAGGGGGUGUGGUGGUCCCUGGAGGCAGGAAGAGACGGAAGAAGCAGCUUCCCCUCUCGGCCCUCCCCCCCCAACCCCGGCCCCCACCUCAGGUCCCAGGGGCCCAGCAAACGGGAUGCAGGUGGGGGCAGGGAGGACCGGGUCAGAGCGCAGACACUGGCCCAGGUUCAGCCUGGGGCCGGCUGGGGGAGGGGGCUUUGCACUAAGAGGGACCCCUAAGCCUAGAGGAAGCUCUGGACUAGGAGACAGGAAAACCCCAAGAGAAAGCUGUCGUGAGUACUUCCUUCUGCAAAGUUUGUUUUGGGUGAUUUUUCCAACAAUAAGAGGUUAGGGAAGAAGGGUAGUCCUGUUCCCACACCAACACUCUGGAAGCCACAGCUACUGGAAACUGGGCCAGGUGGCCCUGAAUUCUCCACCCAUGCACAGACACCUCCUCCCAGACCCCAGUCCGAGCCACGGAUGCCAGGCACCAGCUGGGCACUGAGCCGGGCCCUGCACCAACCCCACUGUCACCCCAUCCCACAUCCGCUGAAGGAGCCAUAGCCCAGCACCCACGCGAGGCGAGGGAGGCGCCGCAGGUAAUAUCAACCAGCCUCUGGGAGCUGGCCUCUGGACUCUGUGCGCUCACCUGCUCGGCAGGUGAGUCAGGGGCCACCAUGGGAAAGGACAGACGCCUUCACCAGCCAGCCGACUCAGCGUCGUCAGGCAUGAUGCUUCUUUGGACUUAUUCAGCCUUGCCCCAAAGUAGUAAUAACAUAUUUGUGUAGCACUUCA
Non-coding RNA from Microcebus murinus (gray mouse lemur), 2834 nucleotides. The record is from RefSeq and is a predicted model, not a curated record. NCBI's taxonomy places the organism in Eukaryota, Metazoa, Chordata, Mammalia, Primates, Cheirogaleidae.